GCAAGAUUAAAACUCAAAGGAAUAGACGGGGACCCGCACAAGCGGUGGAGCAUGUGGUUUAAUUCGACGAUACGCGAAGAACCUUACCUGGCCUUGACAUAGAAAGAACUUACUAGAGAUAGUUUGGUGCUAGCUUGCUAGAACUUUCAUACAGGUGCUGCACGGCUGUCGUCAGCUCGUGUCGUGAGAUGUUGGGUUAAGUCCCGCAACGAGCGCAACCCUCGUGUUUAGUUACUAACAGUUCGGCUGAGGACUCUAGACAGACUGCCUGGGUAACCAGGAGGAAGGUGAGGACGACGUCAAGUCAUCAUGGCCCUUACGGCCAGGGCUACACACGUGCUACAAUGGGGUAUACAAAGAGCCGCAAUACCGUGAGGUGGAGCAAAUCUCAUAAAAUAUCUCCCAGUUCGGAUUGAAGUCUGCAACUCGACCCCAUGAAGUUGGAAUCGCUAGUAAUCGUGAAUCAGCAAUGUCACGGUGAAUACGUUCCCGGGUCUUGUACUCACCGCCC
RNAcentral lists this ribosomal RNA (511 nucleotides) under uncultured Campylobacterota bacterium. RNAcentral's name for it is "bacterial SSU rRNA". It matches the Rfam family "Bacterial small subunit ribosomal RNA", at positions 888 to 1395 of the family's 1533-position model. The record is from RNAcentral. Lineage: Bacteria; Pseudomonadati; Campylobacterota.